UUUCGUCUAAACAAACACGCCCUUAGCCACCCUCAAUAGUCAAAUACCAUACUGAAAGUAGAUAAUUUCUGAGCACUUUACCCCCAACAAAAAUAUUUUAAAAGAUGAGAGAAACAUCGACCAUCACUAAAGCAAGGGGCAAAAAGUUUGGUGGUUGGUACCAGGGGUUCCAAGUUCGAAUCCUAGUUGAUUCACAAUUCCAACUAAAUUUAUUUCUAAAUGAAAUAAACGAAGCGGAUAGCGUGCUACCUAUCUCUCAAAAAAAAAAAAAAUGAGAGAAACAAAUGCGCGCAACUUUUAAUAGACCUCCUAUACUUAGGUCACAUAGUUUAAUUGGCUCUUUCCCUUAAGCGAAGCUAUUAAUUAAAAGGAAUAAUUGCCUAUACCCCUCAUACGUUGGAAAAUAUCUGAUUACUCCUACUUUUUUUUUCUUUCUAAGAUACCCCUUAUAUGUUCUACCAUUAUUGCAAAAUACCACCGCAAUUAUCUCAUGUUAAGUUAACUUGGGUUAAAUGUGAGUUAAAUAUCUACCACAGUUAAAAAAAAUAAAAUACCAAUUUUGCCCUUAACUUAAGGGUAAAUAAGAAAUGUUGGUGAUGGUAGAGAGGUAUAUUGGAAAAGACCAAAAGUCAAAAUACUUGUUGUACCCCCGACUUUAAGGGCAAAUAAAAAAAUCAGUGAUGGUGGAAGGGUAUAUUUGAAAGGGCAAAAUAGUAAUUUUACAGAGAUAAUAGAGUUAAUUAACAGAUUUUAACUCUAGGGGUAUAUUAGAAAUAAGUUGGAACAUAGAAAGGGUAUUUUCAAUAUUAGCCUUCUAAGAGGGGUAAAUCGAAAAAUCGGAAACUUUUCAGGGGUAUAUAAGCAAUUGCCCCUAAUUAAAA
RNAcentral lists this long non-coding RNA (881 nucleotides) under Ananas comosus (pineapple). RNAcentral's name for it is "long non-coding RNA (ACOM_LNC007442)". The record is from RNAcentral. Lineage: Eukaryota; Viridiplantae; Streptophyta; Magnoliopsida; Poales; Bromeliaceae.